AGAGUUUGAUCAUGGCUCAGGAUGAACGCUAGCUACAGGCUUAACACAUGCAAGUCGAGGGGCAGCAUGUUGGUUGCUUGCAACCAACGAUGGCGACCGGCGCACGGGUGAGUAACGCGUAUCCAACCUACCCUUGUCCAUCGGAUAACCCGUCGAAAGGCGGCCUAACACGAUAUGCGGUUCACAGCAGGCAUCUAACGUGAACGAAAUGUGAAGGAGAAGGAUGGGGAUGCGUCUGAUUAGCUUGUUGGCGGGGUAACGGCCCACAAGGCUACGAUCAGGUAGGGGUUCUGAGAGGAACGGUCCCCACAUUGGAACUGAGACACGGUCCAAACUCCGUACGGGAGGCA
Molecule: ribosomal RNA, 350 nt
Filed under: uncultured bacterium
Lineage: Bacteria
Description: bacterial SSU rRNA
Rfam family: Bacterial small subunit ribosomal RNA
Source: RNAcentral